RNAcentral lists this long non-coding RNA (889 nucleotides) under Ananas comosus (pineapple). RNAcentral describes it as "long non-coding RNA (ACOM_LNC044586)". The record is from RNAcentral. Lineage: Eukaryota; Viridiplantae; Streptophyta; Magnoliopsida; Poales; Bromeliaceae.
AUCCUAUAUAUAAAAUAUAAUAGGGCUAAAACUCUUAACCCGAUUUAAGCAUUUUAAGUGGUGGCUAGACCUAAGAGGUUAGGAGAGUUAAGCGUGCUAGAACGAGAGUAGUCCUAGGAUGGAUGACCUUCCUGAAAAGUUGGAACGUAAUAGUUGGUAUCAGAGUCAAUUAUUAGGCGAAAGUGUGAGAUGAGUCUCGACUGAAAUAGAAUUAUACGGCGGGGAGAGCAAGACUCUCAUACUUUUGAUUGUUCUGAGUGGAGUGCAGCUCACCACAAGGUUGGUCUAGGCUAGCAAGAUGAGUCUCACAUCGCCUGAUACUUGUAAGUCUGAGCCUGACGAGAACGUCAGGACUUAAGAGGGGGAGAAUAUAAGACCCCAAAUAGUUCUAUAUAUAAGAUAUAAUAGGACUAAAACUUUUAACCUAACUUAAAUAUUUUGAACGAUGGUUAGGCCCAAGAGGUUAAGAGUGUUAAGCGUACUAGGACGGGAGUAGUCUUAAGCUUAGUUUGGUAUUGAGGCUUAUCUAACGCUAUUAGAUAAAAUGGAGUUGAAGAAAAAGCAUAUAGGGAUAUGCUUCUGCGUUCUCCGGUGGGACCGCAGAAAAUAUAUCGUAACCGACUCAUCGCGAUAUGCGGAACGCAAUAUUAUGUACGGAAACAAACAGGGUAUUUUUUCAACGUACUUUCUCACCGCACGUAACGCAAUCUCUCCGCAAUCCCAAACGAAAACUUAGGACAGGAAUAGUCCUAGGACGAGAGAUAACUUAACGGAUGGUAACUGCGGGUGUAUUUUUGAAUAACGGAGUUAUAUAUGAGAGAUAUAUUUGAGAAAAAAGAGUAAGAAUAAAUUAAAUAUUUUCGAAAUUUUGAGGGGUAUAUAAGAAAUU